CACUUGCCCCUAGAAUCGGGCACGAAAGACAAGACUUUCUUGAGCACGAGGUCACCUUCUCGGAACACACGAGGCUUGACCUUCUUAUCGAAUGCUUUCUUCAUUCUCUGCUGAUAUAACUGACCAUGACACAUGGCAGUCAAUCUCUUCUCUUCAAUCAAAUUCAGCUGGUCAUAACGACUCUGAACCCAUUCAGCAUCAGUCAACUAGGGAUUUGAGGGUAUACUUUUUCUUUUUUUCUUUUUUCUUUUGAAAUUUUUUUUUUGAUUUUUGAUUUUUUUUUCUUUUCUCACCCUCUCUCCUUUUUUUUUGAUUACAUUUGUAAUGCCCCAGUUUGACUGUUUUGCUGAUUCUCAUGAUACAGCUAAAUGAGCUUCUUUCUAUGCUCAAGAAGG
RNAcentral lists this long non-coding RNA (395 nucleotides) under Lathyrus oleraceus (garden pea). RNAcentral describes it as "Pisum sativum (pea) long non-coding RNA (PSAT_LNC037738)". The record is from RNAcentral. Lineage: Eukaryota; Viridiplantae; Streptophyta; Magnoliopsida; Fabales; Fabaceae.